AGGGAACACAUGAAUCCCAGCAGAGGAAAGUUGCCAAACUCUAGACCUGCAAAUUAUAUAUAAUUUACAGUACGAAGACCCUGCAGGAUCUAAGGCAGUGGACACUAAGGGAGCCAGACCCAGGGGCACAGUUAGAACAGACCCCUCCCUUCAUAGGAGCUCCCUUAUCCAGAUUCUGCCUUUUAAAUACUGGCUCUGCUGAGAAAGAGGAUCUGCCCGGCGCGUCCCAGCGAGAGCCUGUGGACCACAUGAGGAUAAGCAGACCAUGAAUGUAGCCCCACACAACGUGUAUACUCUUGCAUUUGUACAGCCAUUGGCGGCAUUGUGCUGAGAAGCCAGGAUCUUGGGCUCAGUAACCAGAUGCCAGCCCCAAGCAGUGUCACUGGAACCCCAACACCAGGGAUUGGAAGUUAGGCAAGAGGUGUCAGGAUGGCUUCCAAGGUCACCAGGAUGUCUCUAUCUAUGAAGCUGCUGCCUUGGCUUUCUUCAGCAGACAGUCACUGCUUCCGCUAUCAAGCUGCUGGGACACUGCUGCUAUUAUAACGAUGAUGUCUGCAGCCUUCUGCAGCCUCUGCAGCCUCUGCCUUCAUGUCACCAGCAGGCCUGUAAUACUGAAAGCAGGCAAUUCCAGAGUUUACUGCUCCAGUGUUACAAGACCAGGAAAGCAGCUCCUCACCAGGCUCUGUUGUAGGCCCCCAGGGAACCAUGAUGACGAGUGAGCAUAGGUUCUCGAUUGUAUUGGCCUUGGGGAGAAUUGGACCGCACAGUGACUGUCACACAAAUGGAUUCAAGGGUUACAGAAAAAAAAAAAAAAAAAGACACACAGUACUAGGAGGAAUGGGUGCUGGUUAGAGUCUGAAAAUGAAUUAUGCCUAAUAUAAAGGUAAGCUGUGAAUUAAUCUGGUGGCUGUACUGAUUUACCUUGUAAUCCCCAAUAACUCUACAGAGAAACCAAGAUGUAUUUAAGACUGCACCUCAAUAGCUGAGCAGUUAAAUGAAUGAUGUGUCUUAAACCGCUAUGCUAAUCUGGCUAACUAACUCCCAGCCCCAUCCCAUGAUGCUUGUGUAUCGAUCUGGCUCUCCAGACCCCUUCUUCAUUGCUCCAAUUCCUCCAUCCUGCCUGUGAUCUGACUCUCCUCUCCUUCUCUCUUCUGCCCAACCACUGGGUUAUCAGCAUUU
Mus musculus (house mouse) is the source of this 1179-nucleotide long non-coding RNA. RefSeq annotates it as predicted gene, 46724. NCBI's taxonomy places the organism in Eukaryota, Metazoa, Chordata, Mammalia, Rodentia, Muridae. The transcript has 3 exons. The record is from RefSeq and is a predicted model, not a curated record.